UACCUAGUGAUUCUAUGUCUUUUACUACAUCAGAUGUAAACACCUAUGUAACAGAAGGCCACUGUUUUUUUCCAGGUUCGCAGCAGGUGGCGGGUGGAGCCCAGUGAGGGAGAGGUUCCACCCCAGGGGAAGCUGGAGCUGAGGCUGGUCCCUCACCUAGAUGACAAUCAAUCAAAUGCAUUUAUAAAGCCCUUUUUGCAUCAGCAGAUGUCACAAAGUGCUAUAGAGAAACCUGGCCUAAAACAGCAAGCAAUUUUUUUAUUAUCUUUAUUUAACUAGGCAAGUCAGUGAAGAACAAAUUCUUAUUUUCAAUGACGGCCUAGGAACAGUGGGUUAACUGCCUGUUCAGGGGUAGAACGACAGAUUUGUACCUUGUCAGCUCGGGGGUUUGAACUUGCAACCGCCCAGUUACUAGUCCAAUGCUCUAACCGCUAGGCUACGCUGCCGCUGCCGCAAUGCAGCUGUAGAAGCACGGUGGCAAAGAGAAACUCCCUAGAAAAGGCAGGAACCUAGGAAGAAACCUAGAGAGGAACCAGACUCUGAGGGGUGGCCAGUCUUCUUCUUCUCUUCUGUGCCUGGUGGAGAUUUUAAGAGAAUAUCUGAGCAUUUAAGGCCAGAUUGUUCUUCAAGAUUUUUGAAACGUUAGAUAACCAGCAGGGUCAAAUAAUAACCAUAGUGGUUGUAGAGGGUGCACUUCCAGGACAAGCUGUACCUCUCCAUCCAGGAUAAUGAAACACACCAUCCUUCUCUCUGCCAAUGGCAAGGGCACUACCAUUGUCACCAACCGUCCUUUUGUCCCCAGUCUGGACCUGGGGGCACAUUUCAGCUCUGGUCCAUAUCAGUACUGUUUUAGAGUGACCAACUGAGGUCAGCCCUCCCACCAGCUUUACUGGAACACAGAGGGGUACCCCCAGAGCCCCCCCCCCCCCCCCCGCCCACCAACACAACCAGGGAGGAAAAGAGUUGCAACUCCCUGGUUCCCCCAGCAGUAGAUGGGCCGUUCUUCAGACUGCAUCCCAAACGCA
Molecule: long non-coding RNA, 1025 nt
Filed under: Oncorhynchus mykiss (rainbow trout)
Lineage: Eukaryota; Metazoa; Chordata; Actinopteri; Salmoniformes; Salmonidae
Description: lncRNA (ENSOMYG00000056698.1)
Source: RNAcentral